UACGUAGGGUACGAGCGUUGCCCGGAUUCAUUGGGCGUAAAGCGCGCGUAGGCGGUUACGCAAGUCGGUUGUGAAAAUCCGGGGCUCAACCCCGGACCUGCAUCCGAUACUGCGUGACUAGAGGUAGGUAGGGGAGAUCGGAAUUCCUGGUGUAGCGGUGAAAUGCGCAGAUAUCAGGAGGAACACCGGUGGCGAAGGCGGAUCUCUGGGCCUUACCUGACGCUCAGGCGCGAAAGCUAGGGGAGCGAACAGG
This 253-nucleotide ribosomal RNA is filed under the name uncultured bacterium. RNAcentral's name for it is "partial 16S ribosomal RNA". It matches the Rfam family "Bacterial small subunit ribosomal RNA", at positions 524 to 776 of the family's 1533-position model. The record is from RNAcentral.